GGCCUUGUCGUCUAGCCCGGUCUAGGACACUAGAUUCUCAUUCUAGUAACACGGGUUCGAAUCCCGUCGAGGCUACCA
Molecule: transfer RNA, 78 nt
Filed under: Minisyncoccota bacterium
Lineage: Bacteria; Bacillati; Minisyncoccota
Description: tRNA-Glu
Rfam family: tRNA
About the family: Transfer RNA (tRNA) molecules are approximately 80 nucleotides in length. Their secondary structure includes four short double-helical elements and three loops (D, anti-codon, and T loops).
Source: RNAcentral